AUUAUUUUUAGGGUAUUGGGGGUGCUAUUUUUGGAAUAAAGAAGAGGAAAGCAGCUGAGGAAAAUAAAACUAAACAUCUGUCAUAUCUUUUAGUGGUUAUCAAAUGAAUGUCAUUUUUGAAGGACCAGUAAAUUUUGAGCCGGACCAGUAGAUCUAAAGUCCACUGGUCCGGCUGACCAGUACACUAAAAAGCUUAAAUUCGACCCCUGCUG
This 212-nucleotide long non-coding RNA is filed under the name Mytilus galloprovincialis (Mediterranean mussel). Lineage: Eukaryota; Metazoa; Mollusca; Bivalvia; Mytilida; Mytilidae. The record is from RNAcentral.